UCAGCUUCUUCUUUAAGCAGUUAAAACCACAAACAAACCCUAACUCAAAUGGGCGUCUUCUCCACACCUUCCUUCCAAUACCUAAAGUCGUGGGUGUUGUUUAAGCUAGAGAGAGAGUGAGAGAGCCCCAAAUGAGAAAGGGCAGAAAAGAAAGGAAACCGAGAGGUACCAGUCUCCAGUGACGACGGAUCCACGGUGGUUCUGCGGCAACGGCACCAUCAAGGCGAUACUACUCUGGUGCGUGCUUCAUCCACCGCCAGUAAUCUGUAGACGGUGAACACGGUUGUUGGGUUGGCUGGUUUCAACAAACGACGGUGGUGCAGUGCAAAUAGCGAUUCCAAUCUUCUGCAAAAUUCGGUUUGUCUACUCAAAUCUUAAUGCGUUAACAGGAUCACUCCCACCAGAUGUUUGUGAAAUUGCCUCAGUGAAAGUUCUCAACUUUGCUUGAAGUUAUUUCAGUGGGCCCAUUCCAAAUUCAUAUGGGUUAUGCAAGAAUCUUGAUAUUAUUCAUCUUGCUGGUAAUUUGUUAAGUGGGUAUUUACGUAUUGAAUUUGGUCAGUUAAAAAUUGUCACUCAUAUGGAGAUUGGUUACAAUUCUUAUCAAGGUAGCAUCCCAUGGCAAUUUGGUAAUAUGAGUGAGCUUAGAUAUCUUGAUAUUGCUGGUGCUAAUCUAUCAGGAACAAUCCGAAACGAGUUAGGUACUUUAGUUAAUCUUGCCACACUAUUUCUAUUCAAAAACUCUCUGUUCGGGAUGAUCCUGAACGAAUUCGGCAACAUUUCGAUGAUUUCGAGCUUAGAUCUUUCGGAUAACUUGCUUUCGAGUCCGAUUCUCGACAGUUUUUCGAACUUGAAAAGUUUAAAACUAUCAAGUGCUAUGUAUAACGACAUGAAUGGUUUUGUUCCUGAAGGGAUAGCUAAGCUUCCUAAUCUUGAAUCACUUCUUAUUUGGGAUAACUUCUUUAGUGGCACACUGCCACAAGAAUUGGGUAUGCAUUCUAAACUCAAAUGAGUAUUUUUCACUUAUAAUUCAAAAGUUUCUAUCUUUUGCAAUUUAACCCCUUUGAUUUUUUUUUACGUUUAACCCAAAGCUUUUCAUCAUUUGCAAUUAUGAGCCUUUCCAUGUCUUGCAAAAGCAGCUUCAAAGCUGCCACUUUGUUUGCGUAUGUCAACAGGAUCAGCACGAUUAAAGGAAAACGAAGAUUGAUGGAGAGAACCUGUGUGGGGAUGAAGAUGGGCGAUUGUCAGUUGGAGAUAACGUGGGCGGCUGCAAUGUCGAAUGAAGAUGAAGGAGACACUGAUAGCAUGCGUGGUUCCUUUCAGAUGCAGGUCAUUCAAAUAAAUGUUUUCAUUAUUGCAAGAUACCAUAAAAUUUGAGAAAGCCCCAACAACAGCAGUAAAAAUCAACCCGACCUCUGCGGCACCAGUCACCACAUAAACAGGUAACACGUUCCAUUGUGCUUACUUUAAAUGUAUGUUUUCAGCUAAAUAUGACUUUUUGUAAUAAUUUUUUAAUGACUUCCAGAUUGAGUAACCUUGAUACCAAUGUGAAUAAGGUCACCAUCGCAAUAACAAUUACUCUCCAUGGAAUAUCCAUGACCGGAUAGAUUCAAAUCCUUGGAAUCCUCUGGAGUUGUUGUUCAAGGUCAUGUUACAUCAGAUUAAAGUGUCUUUGGCGUGCCAGAUUGUACAGACUUUGGGCAGAUUGCUGCUCGGACUUUAGUCAGAUUGCGGGUCACUAGAUCAUAUUGUGAUUUCAUUAUGUAGCAUUUUUUUUGUUAGCGGGUCAAAUUUCCACAGCUUCGUUACAUGUAACUUAAUAUGUGAACUUACAAAUAAUGAUUUCUGAAAAUGUUACUAGAAUACUCUGCCAACAAUUGUUGAUCACCAUGAUAGCCCCGCCCACAUCGCGGCAGGGGCUCCAUCUAGUUUA
Molecule: long non-coding RNA, 1930 nt
Organism: Helianthus annuus (common sunflower)
Lineage: Eukaryota; Viridiplantae; Streptophyta; Magnoliopsida; Asterales; Asteraceae
Exons: 5
Source: RefSeq, a predicted model, not a curated record